GGGGGAGAUUUGGAAAAGCAGCUGAGCCUCUGAAUCUCUCAGGAACAGGAAUUACCGGUAUUUAAGGUCUUGCCUCCCCAUGUUCGGUGGCCGCAUUUGCAUAGCAUGAGUCUGAGACUAUACAAGAAGAGCUGAGGAAAGGAAAGACAGGAGAGAG
Molecule: long non-coding RNA, 157 nt
Organism: Mauremys reevesii (Reeves's turtle)
Lineage: Eukaryota; Metazoa; Chordata; Testudines; Geoemydidae
Exons: 3
Source: RefSeq, a predicted model, not a curated record